This 762-nucleotide ribosomal RNA is filed under the name uncultured Pelagibacterales bacterium. Its description in RNAcentral is "bacterial SSU rRNA". It matches the Rfam family "Bacterial small subunit ribosomal RNA", at positions 79 to 878 of the family's 1533-position model. The record is from RNAcentral. Lineage: Bacteria; Pseudomonadati; Pseudomonadota; Alphaproteobacteria; Candidatus Pelagibacterales.
AAGUAGCAUAUACUUAGUGGCAGACGGGUGAGUAACAUGUAGGUAUCUACCCUUUGGCCUGGAAUAACACGAGGAAACUUGUGCUAAUACCGGAUAAGUCUUUACAGAGAAAGCUUUAUGCACCAUUGGAUGAGCCGGCACUAGAUUAGUUUGUUGGUGGGGUAAUGGCCUACCAAGACUGUGAUCUAUAGCUGAUUUGAGAGGAUGAUCAGCCACAUUGGGACUGUGACACGGCCCAAACUCCUACGGGAGGCAGCAGUGGGGAAUCUUGCACAAUGGAGGAAACUCUGAUGCAGCGAUGCCGCGUGAGUGAAGAAGGCCUUUGGGUUGUAAAGCUCUUUCGUCGGGGAAGAAAAUGACUGUACCCGAAUAAGAAGGUCCGGCUAACUUCGUGCCAGCAGCCGCGGUAAUACGAAGGGACCUAGCGUAGUUCGGAUUUACUGGGCUUAAAGAGUUCGUAGGUGGUUGAAAAAGUUGGUGGUGAAAUCCCAGAGCUUAACUCUGGAACUGCCAUCAAAACUUUUCAGCUAGAGUAUGAUAGAGGAAAGCAGAAUUUCUAGUGUAGAGGUGAAAUUCGUAGAUAUUAGAAAGAAUACCAAUUGCGAAGGCAGCUUUCUGGAUCAUUACUGACACUGAGGAACGAAAGCAUGGGUAGCGAAGAGGAUUAGAUACCCUCGUAGUCCAUGCCGUAAACGAUGUGUGUUAGACGUUGGAAAUUUAUUUUCAGUGUCGCAGCGAAAGCGAUAAACACACCGCGUGGGG